Molecule: ribosomal RNA, 565 nt
Filed under: uncultured bacterium
Lineage: Bacteria
Description: partial 16S ribosomal RNA
Rfam family: Bacterial small subunit ribosomal RNA
Source: RNAcentral
UGGGGAAUUUUGGACAAUGGGCGAAAGCCUGAUCCAGCAAUGCCGCGUGUGUGAAGAAGGCCUUCGGGUUGUAAAGCACUUUUGUCCGGAAAGAAAUCCUUGGCUCUAAUACAGUCGGGGGAUGACGGUACCGGAAGAAUAAGCACCGGCUAACUACGUGCCAGCAGCCGCGGUAAUACGUAGGGUGCAAGCGUUAAUCGGAAUUACUGGGCGUAAAGCGUGCGCAGGCGGUUUGCUAAGACCGAUGUGAAAUCCCCGGGCUAACCUGGGAACUGCAUUGGUGACUGGCAGGCUAGAGUAUGGCAGAGGGGGGUAGAAUUCCACGUGUAGCAGUGAAAUGCGUAGAGAUGUGGAGGAAUACCGAUGGCGAAGGCAGCCCCCUGGGCCAAUACUGACGCUCAUGCACGAAAGCGUGGGGAGCAAACAGGAUUAGAUACCCUGGUAGUCCACGCCCUAAACGAUGUCAACUAGUUGUUGGGGAUUCAUUUCCUUAGUAACGUAGCUAACGCGUGAAGUUGACCGCCUGGGGAGUACGGUCGCAAGAUUAAAACUUAAAGGAAUUGAC